RNAcentral lists this transfer RNA (73 nucleotides) under Ovis aries (sheep). It matches the Rfam family "tRNA". Rfam says of the family: Transfer RNA (tRNA) molecules are approximately 80 nucleotides in length. Their secondary structure includes four short double-helical elements and three loops (D, anti-codon, and T loops). Further hydrogen bonds mediate the characteristic L-shaped molecular structure. tRNAs have two regions of fundamental functional importance: the anti-codon, which is responsible for specific mRNA codon recognition, and the 3' end, to which the tRNAs corresponding amino acid is attached (by aminoacyl-tRNA synthetases). tRNAs cope with the degeneracy of the genetic code in two manners: having more than one tRNA (with a specific anti-codon) for a particular amino acid; and 'wobble' base-pairing, i.e. permitting non-standard base-pairing at the 3rd anti-codon position. The record is from Rfam by way of RNAcentral. Lineage: Eukaryota; Metazoa; Chordata; Mammalia; Artiodactyla; Bovidae.
UCCCUGGAGGUCCAGUGGUUGGGACUCUGCGCUUCCAAUGCAGGGGGCGGAGGUUCAGUUCCUGAUCAGGGAA